This 389-nucleotide ribosomal RNA is filed under the name uncultured eukaryote. Its description in RNAcentral is "partial small subunit ribosomal RNA". The record is from RNAcentral.
UCUUGAUCUCUGCGGCGUAGGAGAUGGCCCGCUUCGGGCCGAUGUUGGGGAUCUCCAGCAACGCCAUGAUGUCGUCGUGCUUGGCGUGUAGUUCUGCCCGCUGGUGGAAGUCCCCGGUCUCCAGGAUUUCCGUGAUUUUGCAGGUGAGUUUCUUCCCUACGCCGACGAUGCUGCUGACAGUCUCUUCCUCGACGUCCUCGUCCAUCUGCUCGAUGGUCCGGGCUGCUCGAUUGUAGGAACCGAUCUUGAACCUGUUGCCCUCCCCGUCCUGCUGGAUGAGGAUGGCGUACUGGCGAAAAAGCUUGGCGAUUCGGUCGUUGAUUGCUGGCAUAGGGCCCUCCUUAUACACCGAUCCCACAACCACGGGGCGUGUGCGUGAAUAGUCGGGU